AUUGAACGCUGGCGGAAUGCUUUACACAUGCAAGUCGAACGGCAGCACGGACUUCGGUCUGGUGGCGAGUGGCGAACGGGUGAGUAAUGUAUCGGAACGUGCCCAGUCGUGGGGGAUAACGUAGUGAAAAUUACGCUAAUACCGCAUACGAUCUAUGGAUGAAAGCGGGGGAUCGCAAGACCUCGCGCGAUUGGAGAGGCCGAUAUCAGAUUAGGUAGAUGGUGGGGUAAAGGCCCACCAAGCCAACGAUCUGUAGCUGGUCUGAGAGGACGAACAGCCACACUGGAACUGGGACAGGGUCCAGCCUCCUACGGGAGGCAGCAGUGGGGAAAUUUGGACAAUGGGCGAAAGCCUGAUCCAGCCACUCCGCGUGCAGGAUGAAGGCCCUCGGGUUGUAAACUGCUUUUGUACAGAACGAAAAGGUUUCUACUAAUACUAGGAGCUCAUGACGGUACUGUAAGAAUAAGCACCGGCUAACUACGUGCCAGCCGCCGCCGUAA
RNAcentral lists this ribosomal RNA (500 nucleotides) under uncultured bacterium. RNAcentral describes it as "partial 16S ribosomal RNA". It matches the Rfam family "Bacterial small subunit ribosomal RNA", at positions 30 to 523 of the family's 1533-position model. The record is from RNAcentral.